UACGUAGGUGGCAAGCGUUGUCCGGAUUUACUGGGCGUAAAGAGCGCGCAGGCGGUCGUUCAAGUCGCGUGUGAAAGCCCCCGGCUCAACUGGGGAGGGUCACGCGAUACUGAUCGACUCGAAGGCAGGAGAGGGUAGUGGAAUUCCCGGUGUAGUGGUGAAAUGCGUAGAUAUCGGGAGGAACACCGGUGGCGAAGGCGGGUCUCUGGGCAUCUCCUGACGCUGAGGCGCGAAAGCGUGGUGAGCAAACGGG
RNAcentral lists this ribosomal RNA (253 nucleotides) under uncultured bacterium. RNAcentral's name for it is "partial 16S ribosomal RNA". It matches the Rfam family "Bacterial small subunit ribosomal RNA", at positions 524 to 776 of the family's 1533-position model. The record is from RNAcentral.